RNAcentral lists this ribosomal RNA (878 nucleotides) under uncultured archaeon. RNAcentral describes it as "bacterial SSU rRNA". It matches the Rfam family "Archaeal small subunit ribosomal RNA", at positions 22 to 903 of the family's 1478-position model. The record is from RNAcentral.
GGCCACUGCUAUCGGAGUACGACUUAGCCAUGCGAGUCACAGGGGCGCAAGCCACUGGCAGACGGCUCAGUAACACGUAGGUAACCUACCCUUCGGAUGGGCAUAACCCCGGGAAACUGGGGCUAAUUCCCAAUAGGCACCCCCCUCUGGAAUGUGGGGAUGUCCAAAGCUCCGGCGCCGAAGGAUGGGCCUGCGGCCGAUUAGGUUGUUGGCGGGGUAACAGCCCACCAAGCCGACGAUCGGUACGGGCAGUGAGAGCUGUAGCCCGGAGAUGGGGACUGAGACAAGGCCCCAGGCCCUACGGGGCGCAGCAGGCGCGAAACCUUCACAAUGCACGAAAGUGUGAUGAGGGUACUCCGAGUGCGCAUACAUUUGUAUGUGCUUUUCUGCAGCGUAAAUAGUUGCAGGAAUAAGGGCUGGGCAAGACCGGUGCCAGCCGCCCGCGGUAACACCGGCAGCCCUAGUGGUGGCCGCUUUUAUUGGGCCUAAAGCGUCCGUAGCCGGAUAGGCAAGUCUUUGGGUAAAUCCUACGUCUUAAGCGUGGGAAUUCUAAAGAUACUACCUGUCUUGAGGCCGGGAGAGGCUAGAGGUACUCCUGGGGUAGGGGUAAAAUCCUAUAAUCCUAGGGGGACCACCGAUGGCGAAGGCAUCUAGCUGGAACGGGCCUGACGGUGAGGGACGAAACCCAGGGGAGCGAGCCGGAUUAGAUACCCGGGUAGUCCUGGGCGUAAAUGAUGUGGGCUUGGUGUGAGCGCAUCGACGAGGUGCGUUUGUGCCGUAGGGAAGCCGUUAAGCCCACCGCCUGGGGAGUACGGUCGCAAGGCUGAAACUUAAAGGAAUUGGCGGGGGANCACUACAAGGGGUGGAGGCUGCGGUUU